This is a non-coding RNA of Schistosoma curassoni, 45 nucleotides long. Lineage: Eukaryota; Metazoa; Platyhelminthes; Trematoda; Strigeidida; Schistosomatidae. The record is from Rfam.
GUCCAGUUGACGAGUCCCAAAUAGGACGAAACGCGUGUCCUGGAU